Molecule: unclassified non-coding RNA, 300 nt
Filed under: uncultured Ascomycota
Lineage: Eukaryota; Fungi; Ascomycota
Description: sequence contains 5.8S rRNA gene, ITS2
Rfam family: 5.8S ribosomal RNA (bases 1-100)
Source: RNAcentral
CGGCAGUGUCAGAUGUGUAUAAGAGACAGGUGAGUCAUCGAAUCUUUGAACGCAUAUUGCGCCCUUUGGCAUUCCGAAGGGCAUACCUGUUCGAGCGUCAUUACACCCCUCAAACUGAACUGUUUGAUGUUGGGCAACGCCUGGAGGCGUGCCUAAAAUUUAGCGAUGGUACAUUAAACCUCAAGCGCACAGAUGUCGUUAUGUGGGCAAGAUGGCACCAGUCUCUUCGUGAAUUUCUGAAUGUUGACCUCGGAUCAGGUAGGGAUACCCGCUGAACUUAAGCAUAUCAAUAAGCGGAGG